RNAcentral lists this ribosomal RNA (253 nucleotides) under uncultured bacterium. RNAcentral describes it as "partial 16S ribosomal RNA". It matches the Rfam family "Bacterial small subunit ribosomal RNA", at positions 524 to 776 of the family's 1533-position model. The record is from RNAcentral.
UACGUAGGGGGCUAGCGUUGUUCGGAAUUACUGGGCGUAAAGAGCGUGUAGGCGGCUAUACAGGUCCGUUGUGAAAACUCGAGGCUCAACCUCGAGACGCCGAUGGAAACCGUAUGGCUAGAGUCCGGUAGGGGAGUGUGGAAUUCCCGGUGUAGCGGUGAAAUGCGCAGAGAUCGGGAGGAACACCCGUAGCGAAGGCGGCACUCUGGGCCGGUACUGACGCUGAGGAGCGAAAGCGUGGGGAGCAAACAGG